GUCGACGAUUACUCCUACGGGAGGCAGCAGUGGGGAAUAUUGGACAAUGGGCGAAAGCCUGAUCCAGCCAUGGCGCGUGUGUGAAGAAGGUCUUCGGAUUGUAAAGCACUUUAAGUUGGGAGGAAGGGUUGUAGAUUAAUACUCUGCAAUUUUGACGUUACCGACAGAAUAAGCACCGGCUAACUCUGUGCCAGCAGCCGCGGUAAUAAUCUCUAGA
Molecule: ribosomal RNA, 217 nt
Filed under: uncultured Pseudomonas sp.
Lineage: Bacteria; Pseudomonadati; Pseudomonadota; Gammaproteobacteria; Pseudomonadales; Pseudomonadaceae
Description: partial 16S ribosomal RNA
Rfam family: Bacterial small subunit ribosomal RNA
Source: RNAcentral